UGAACGCUGGCGGUAGGCCUAACACAUGCAAGUCGAACGGCAGCACAGUAAGAGCUUGCUCUUACGGGUGGCGAGUGGCGGACGGGUGAGGAAUACAUCGGAAUCUACUUUUUCGUGGGGGAUAACGUAGGGAAACUUACGCUAAUACCGCAUACGACCUACGGGUGAAAGCAGGGGAUCUUCGGACCUUGCGCGAUUGAAUGAGCCGAUGUCGGAUUAGCUAGUUGGUGGGGUAAAGGCCCACCAAGGCGACGAUCCGUAGCUGGUCUGAGAGGAUGAUCAGCCACACUGGAACUGAGACACGGUCCAGACUCCUACGGGAGGCAGCAGUGGGGAAUAUUGGACAAUGGGCGCAAGCCUGAUCCAGCCAUACCGCGUGGGUGAAGAAGGCCUUCGGGUUGUAAAGCCCUUUUGUUGGGAAAGAAAAGCAGCAGGUUAAUACCCCGCUGUUCUGACGGUACCCAAAGAAUAAGCACCGGCUAACUUCGUG
Molecule: ribosomal RNA, 490 nt
Filed under: uncultured bacterium
Lineage: Bacteria
Description: partial 16S ribosomal RNA
Rfam family: Bacterial small subunit ribosomal RNA
Source: RNAcentral